AUGGAAAAGAAAGAAGGCAUAGUUUCCAAAACUUUGGGAUCCUGUGAAGGUGAAGACAAAGGAAACACUAAACUACACAACUUUCCUGUCCACCCUCUGCACAGCAGUGCUGCAAUGCUGCACCGAGCCAAACAGAGAAAUCAUAAUAACAGAAACACAUUUGUCUGGCAGAGUGAACAGAAGAAAUGUUGCAGAAUUGAGAUACGAAGAACCUCAGUGCAGAAUAGAAGGAGAACUGUCAUUCUGAUUGUUUGUCAUUAUUGUUUCAUGUCCAGUUAAGUGAACUUAAAAUGACAGUUGUGUCAUAACUGCUGGCAUCUAUGUAAAUUUCAAAUCAAAUAUGAUAGAGGCAUUUCUGCCAGACACAAGUCACCAGGCUGCUCUUCCUCUUCAUUUUUGUAACCCUCCAUUUUCUCAUGCCAUUGCUGGUAGCCCUUAAAUUAAAAAGACAACUUCAACAGGGGGUCUCUGUGAUGUGUGUGUUUCAGUGCUCAGCCUGUACCUUGCUUUCUCUCAGCUUUUUGAAACAACGCCCAGUGUCAAAUUUCCACCAGAAACAGUCACCACAAACAUCUAGAUGGAUUAGCUAAAACUCUGCCUUCCCAGGCAUGAUGUGUCAUACAACAACACCCUAUGAAGUUCUAGGUUGAGAACAUCCCCUGAAGACAUACAGAGUUAGCAGCUCGAGCAAAUGUUCCUCCAUUGGUUUACUACAGCCCAAGCCAGGUACCACAGAGGUCUUCUCUGUGCAUAGGUGCAAAAUAGCCAGAAAACAUCAGUCAUGGACCUUUCUGUACAUUACAGCAUGGUUCAGAGAUCAUGGGAACUUCAUAAAGAUAUCAGACAUACUCCUCCAUUGCAAUGAGCUACAUGCAAAUAAUUCAUUUUCUGGGUACACUCAGAUAUUCUAAUUACACAGGAUUUGCUACUGGACACACAUCUUUGAAAAUAAUUUUGAUGCAAUUAUAAAGGUAUUUUGUGUGGACAGCACCAUGAAAAAUUAUUAAACAUGCUAUUUAUUCACUCAGGGAUAAUAUACUAAUUUUUUCUGCAUAUUUAAAGUUACUCGGCUAAUUAAUUAGAUAAUAAAGGCUAGAGUUAAGUUUUCA
Molecule: long non-coding RNA, 1109 nt
Filed under: Parus major (Great Tit)
Lineage: Eukaryota; Metazoa; Chordata; Aves; Passeriformes; Paridae
Description: lncRNA (ENSPMJG00000019421.1)
Source: RNAcentral